GUGGUGGUGGUGGUGGUGAUGGUGUUGGUGACUCAAAGCGGUCUCAAGAGCGUCGACUCUAGCUCCAACCUCGGUUGCUUUUUUCCUUAUCGAAGCGGCCGACAUGUCACCGCAUACUCCGCCGAUGCUUUCUCCCGCCAAAAACUCGGGGAAAUUAAGCCUCGCCGACGGUCCUCUCAAAUAGAAGACCGCCGUGUCAUAGGCCCGAGCCGCAGCCACGGGAGUUGAAUAUGAGCCGAGCCAAAUCCUCGAGCGCUUGUUGGGUUCUCUUAUCUCAGCCACCCAUUUGCCCCACUUCCUCAUCCUUAUCCCCUUGUACUGUCUGUCGCCGUCCACCGCUCCAUCUCCUCGCUUCCUCGUGGCCAUCGCCUUCUCCACUCCAUUUUCCAUCGCUUCAAAAAAAAAAAAAUUAAAUCGACCAACCACUCAAUAUUCCCAAACACCCACUUCCCUCUCCAGAAGCAGAAAAGGUCGCGAUGAUCCCAACUUCGGAAAUCAGCAAGCUUUCAUGGUACAAAAGAUUCGUGCAGCUAUGGGUUUAUGGCUAUAGCCGGGUAUGAAAAGGGCCAGCCAUCUGGGUAAUCUUACACGUUAAUGGCGAUUUUUGUUUUGUAUUUUUUAUAAAAAAAAAGAUGGGUGAUAAAAAAUCAGAAAAUCCAAAUUCACCGACACAGAUCUUUGUGGAAAUUGUUUAAAAGCAAAGGAGGGUAUGAGUGUGAAGGGUGUGUUUAUGUUGUUUUGCCCUGUAUG
Molecule: unclassified non-coding RNA, 750 nt
Filed under: Hevea brasiliensis (rubber tree)
Lineage: Eukaryota; Viridiplantae; Streptophyta; Magnoliopsida; Malpighiales; Euphorbiaceae
Source: RNAcentral